CCUACGGGAGGCAGCAGUGGGGAAUAUUGGUCAAUGGGCGCAAGCCUGACCCAGCAACGCCGCGUGAAGGAAGAAUGCUUUCGGGUUGUAAACUUCUUUUUUCAGGGACGUAGCAAGUGACGGUACCUGACGAAUAAGCCACGGCUAACUACGUGCCAGCAGCCGCGGCAAUACGUAGGUGGCAAGCGUUAUCCGGAUUUAUUGGGUGUAAAGGGCGUGUAGGCGGGAAUGCAAGUCAGAUGUGAAAACUAUGGGCUCAACCCAAAGACUGCAUUUGAAACUGUAUUUCUUGAGUGCAGGAGAGGCAAUCGGAAUUCGGGGUGUAGCGGUGAAAUGCGUAGAUAUACGGAGGAACACCGGUGGCGAAGGCGGAUUGCUGGACUGUAACUGACGCUGAGGCGCGAAAGCGUGGGGAGCAAACAGGAUUAGAUACCCGAGUAGUC
This 443-nucleotide ribosomal RNA is filed under the name uncultured bacterium. Its description in RNAcentral is "partial 16S ribosomal RNA". It matches the Rfam family "Bacterial small subunit ribosomal RNA", at positions 338 to 795 of the family's 1533-position model. The record is from RNAcentral.